This 73-nucleotide transfer RNA is filed under the name Candidatus Woesearchaeota archaeon. RNAcentral's name for it is "tRNA-Val". It matches the Rfam family "tRNA". From Rfam's summary of the family: Transfer RNA (tRNA) molecules are approximately 80 nucleotides in length. Their secondary structure includes four short double-helical elements and three loops (D, anti-codon, and T loops). The record is from RNAcentral. Lineage: Archaea; Nanobdellati; Candidatus Woesearchaeota.
GGGCCCUUGGUCUAGUGGCUAUGAUAUCGCCUUCACACGGCGGAGGUCGCCGGUUCGAAUCCGGCAGGGCCCA